This 497-nucleotide ribosomal RNA is filed under the name uncultured bacterium. Its description in RNAcentral is "partial 16S ribosomal RNA". It matches the Rfam family "Bacterial small subunit ribosomal RNA", at positions 28 to 507 of the family's 1533-position model. The record is from RNAcentral.
GAUGAACGCUGGCGGCGUGCCUAAUACUUGCAAGUCGAGCGAACGGACGAGAAGCUUGCUUCUCUGAUGUUAGCGGCGGACGGGUGAGUAACACGUGGAUAACCUACCUAUAAGACUGGGAUAACUUCGGGAAACCGUAGCUAAUACCGGAUAAUAUUUUGAACCGCAUGGUUCAAAAGUGAAAGACGGUCUUGCUGUCACUUAUAGAUGGAUCCGCGCUGCAUUAGCUAGUUGGUAAGGUAACGGCUUACCAAGGCAACGAUGCAUAGCCGACCUGAGAGGGUGAUCGGCCACACUGGAACUGAGACACGGUCCAGACUCCUACGGGAGGCAGCAGUAGGGAAUCUUCCGCAAUGGGCGAAAGCCUGACGGAGCAACGCCGCGUGAGUGAUGAAGGUCUUCGGAUCGUAAAACUCUGUUAUUAGGGAAGAACAUAUGUGUAAGUAACUGUGCACAUCUUGACGGUACCUAAUCAGAAAGCCACGGCUAACUACGUG